RNAcentral lists this ribosomal RNA (406 nucleotides) under uncultured bacterium. RNAcentral describes it as "partial 16S ribosomal RNA". It matches the Rfam family "Bacterial small subunit ribosomal RNA", at positions 30 to 526 of the family's 1533-position model. The record is from RNAcentral.
AUUGAACGCUGGCGGCAGGCUUAACACAUGCAAGUCGAGCGAGCGGCGGACGGGUGAGUAAUGUCUGGGACACUGUCUGAUGGAGGGGGAUAACUACUGGAAACGGUAGCUAAUACCGCAUACUAUCGGAUGUGCCCAGAUGGGAUUCGCUAGUAGGUGGGGUAAAGGCACACCUAGGCGACGAUCCCUAGCUGGUCUGAGAGGAUGACCAGCCACACUGGAACUGAGACACGGUCCAGACUCCUACGGGAGGCAGCAGUGGGGAAUAUUGCACAAUGGGCGCAAGCCUGAUGCAGCCAUGCCGCGGGUAUGAAGAAGGCCUUCGGGUUGUAAAGUACUUUCAGCGGGGAGGCGUUACCCGCAGAAGAAGCACCGGCUAACUCCGUGCCAGCAGCCGCGGUAAUUC